RNAcentral lists this ribosomal RNA (359 nucleotides) under uncultured archaeon. RNAcentral's name for it is "bacterial SSU rRNA". It matches the Rfam family "Archaeal small subunit ribosomal RNA", at positions 156 to 515 of the family's 1478-position model. The record is from RNAcentral.
AUAGAUCAUAAAUGCUGGAAUGCUUUAUGAUUGAAAGGUUUCGACCGCCUUAGGAUGGAUCUGCGGCCUAUCAGGUUGUAGUGGGUGUAAUGUACCUACUAGCCUACGACGGGUACGGGUUGUGGAAGCAAGAGCCCGGAGAUGGAUUCUGAGACAUGAAUCCAGGCCCUACGGGGCGCAGCAGGCGCGAAAACUUGACAAUGCGGGAAACCGUGAUAAGGGAACACUGAGUGCUAGCAUUUAUGUUAGCUGUCCACAUGUGUAAAUAGCAUGUGAUAGCAAGGGCUGGGCAAGACCGGUGCCAGCCGCCGCGGUAACACCGGCAGCCCGAGUGGUGAUCACUAUUAUUGGGUCUAAAG